Molecule: long non-coding RNA, 277 nt
Filed under: Elaeis guineensis (African oil palm)
Lineage: Eukaryota; Viridiplantae; Streptophyta; Magnoliopsida; Arecales; Arecaceae
Description: long non-coding RNA (EGUI_LNC009331)
Source: RNAcentral
GGUUGCUGAUCGAUAGAGAUAAGAAUUCAUGUACGUAAUCACUUAUGUGGAUAAUAUGUAUUUUAUAAUAUAUGCUGAUGAUUUUUAGGUUUUGCAUCAUUUGUUGUAUUAUUGUUGAUUGAUUUCUGAUAUGAAUAUAUAAGUAUUUUUUUUUAUUGUGCAAAUAUAUCAAAUAUUGAUUAUUUUGAUUUCUAGAAAUAUGAUUUUGGUUGUUUAGAAUGUAAUAUUGGUUAUUUUGGCAAAAAGUUUAAUAUGAAAUUAUAUUCUCUAUGGCAUG